AUUAUCGGAGAGUUUGAUCCUGGCUCAGGACGAACGCUGGCGGCGUGCCUAAUACAUGCAAGUCGAGCGGACAGAUGGGAGCUUGCUCCCUGAUGUUAGCGGCGGACGGGUGAGUAACACGUGGGUAACCUGCCUGUAAGACUGGGAUAACUCCGGGAAACCGGGGCUAAUACCGGAUGCUUGUUUGAACCGCAUGGUUCAAACAUAAAAGGUGGCUUCGGCUACCACUUACAGAUGGACCCGCGGCGCAUUAG
This 254-nucleotide ribosomal RNA is filed under the name Bacillus subtilis. Its description in RNAcentral is "partial 16S ribosomal RNA". It matches the Rfam family "Bacterial small subunit ribosomal RNA", at positions 1 to 244 of the family's 1533-position model. The record is from RNAcentral. Lineage: Bacteria; Bacillati; Bacillota; Bacilli; Caryophanales; Bacillaceae.